AUACUCUUGUUUCUCUUCAGAGCUAAUAAAUCUUUCGCCUUUUACUAAAGAUUUCCGUAGAGAGGAACAACCAUGAGUUUCAUAUACAAUAAAAAUAUAUAUAUGACACAUAAU
Pseudophryne corroboree (corroboree frog) is the source of this 114-nucleotide small nuclear RNA. RefSeq annotates it as U5 spliceosomal RNA. The transcript has a single exon. Lineage: Eukaryota; Metazoa; Chordata; Amphibia; Anura; Myobatrachidae. The record is from RefSeq and is a predicted model, not a curated record.